Long non-coding RNA from Orbicella faveolata, 396 nucleotides. RefSeq lists it as uncharacterized. The record is from RefSeq and is a predicted model, not a curated record. NCBI's taxonomy places the organism in Eukaryota, Metazoa, Cnidaria, Anthozoa, Scleractinia, Merulinidae.
AAAAGGUUCUCAUGUCGUCGUUUCUGAUCUCAAAUCAUUUGCACGCUUAACUGAAACUGACUCACAGGAAGUGCCGGCAACAUAGUAACAAGAAAUAUCAAGAACAAGCAACAGAAAAUGAGACCUUUAAUCAGUCUUCUUUGCCUUUGUGCAGUUCUUGUGGGGCAGCUCGUAGCUAGUCCCUUGCCUCAAUAGGAACCAACUGAAGAACCAGAAGGAACAGAACCCCCAGAGAUAUAGAAACUCCAGAAGCAACAGAAGCCCCAGAUGAUAUAGAAGCUCCAUAGGAAACAGAAGAACCAACUGAAGAACCCGAAGGAAAGUAGUACAGUAAGAAGAGGCGAAGACUGGCGGACGACUAAAUGUCCUCAACACGAUCAGCAACAAUUUUACAUU